CAAGGCAUACGGCUCAGUAACGCGUAGUCCACCUAACCUAUGGACGGGAAUAACCUCGGGAAACUGAGAAUAAUGCCCGAUAGAACAUUAUGCCUGGAAUGGUUUAUGUUCCAAAUGAUUUAUCGCCGUAGGAUGGGACUGCGGCCUAUCAGUUUGUCGGUGAGGUAAUGGCCCACCAAGACUAUUACAGGUACGGGCUCUGAGAGGAGUAGCCCGGAGAUGGGUACUGAGACACGGACCCAGGCCCUAUGGGGCGCAGCAGGCGAGAAAACUUUGCAAUGUGCGAAAGCACGACAAGGUUAAUCCGAGUGGUUUCUGCUAAAGAAACCUUUUGUCAGUCCUAGAAACACUGAUGAAUAAGGGGUGGGCAAGUUCUGGUGUCAGCCGCCGCGGUAAAACCAGCACCUCAAGUGGUCAGGAUGAUUAUUGGGCCUAAAGCAUCCGUAGCCGGCUCUGUAAGUUUUCGGUUAAAUCUGUACGCUCAACGUACAGGCUGCCGGGAAUACUGCAGAGCUAGGGAGUGGGAGAGGUAGACGGUACUCGGUAGGAAGGGGUAAAAUCCUUUGAUCUAUUGAUGACCACCUGU
Molecule: ribosomal RNA, 586 nt
Filed under: uncultured crenarchaeote
Lineage: Archaea; Thermoproteati; Thermoproteota
Description: bacterial SSU rRNA
Rfam family: Archaeal small subunit ribosomal RNA
Source: RNAcentral